UACGGAGGGUGCAAGCGUUAAUCGGAAUUACUGGGCGUAAAGGGUGCGUAGGCGGUUCGUUAAGUCUGUUGUGAAAUCCCCGGGCUCAACCUGGGAAUGGCAAUGGAUACUGGCGGGCUAGAGUGUGUCAGAGGAUGGUGGAAUUCCCGGUGUAGCGGUGAAAUGCGUAGAGAUCGGGAGGAACAUCAGUGGCGAAGGCGGCCAUCUGGGACAACACUGACGCUGAAGCACGAAAGCGUGGGGAGCAAACAGG
RNAcentral lists this ribosomal RNA (253 nucleotides) under uncultured bacterium. Its description in RNAcentral is "partial 16S ribosomal RNA". It matches the Rfam family "Bacterial small subunit ribosomal RNA", at positions 524 to 776 of the family's 1533-position model. The record is from RNAcentral.